Molecule: ribosomal RNA, 301 nt
Filed under: uncultured bacterium
Lineage: Bacteria
Description: partial 16S ribosomal RNA
Rfam family: Bacterial small subunit ribosomal RNA
Source: RNAcentral
CAGCCGCCGCGGUAAUACGGAGGGCGCGAGCGUUACCCGGAUUUACUGGGCGUAAAGGGCGUGUAGGCGGCCUGGGGCGUCCCAUGUGAAAGGCCACGGCUCAACCGUGGAGGAGCGUGGGAUACGCUCAGGCUAGAGGGUGGGAGAGGGUGGUGGAAUUCCCGGAGUAGCGGUGAAAUGCGCAGAUACCGGGAGGAACGCCGAUGGCGAAGGCAGCCACCUGGUCCACUUCUGACGCUGAGGCGCGAAAGCGUGGGGAGCAAACCGGAUUAGAUACCCCGUAGUCCCUGUCUCUUAUACA